RNAcentral lists this unclassified non-coding RNA (405 nucleotides) under Trichotorquatus maritimus SMER-A. Its description in RNAcentral is "16S-23S ribosomal RNA intergenic spacer". The record is from RNAcentral. Lineage: Bacteria; Bacillati; Cyanobacteriota; Cyanophyceae; Oculatellales; Oculatellaceae.
UUAGGGAGACCUACCCACUCUAAUGACCGAAAGCAAAGUGCGACUAAGUCAAGAGCUGGUCAACCAAGGUCGGUCGAGAAAUGAGAUGUCGGCUUUCAAACUAUUUCAGGUUUUUCCAUUGCAUCAUGCAGAUGAAAUGGCAUUACGAGUCAGAAAAGCAAGAACUUCUCAAGUUGGAUAAUUGCAGCAACUUAUCUAGAGCAUUGGUCAACCGAAAAAUCAAUGUGUUAAUUAAUCUAGAGAGCUUGCUGGAAUGAAGACCAGCAAGAACCUUGAAAAUUGCAUAGCAAUAACUGUCAGGUAGAAACAGUGAACAACGUUUUGUGAACGUCAACAUGAAUGUUUUCAUGAACGACAAAAUACACAGCAUUGAACACUGAAACACAGACACCAAUGUAGAAAAGA